CUCAUGGUAUGGAGACAGAGCAGUUGGACCAGGACCAGCAAGCCCCAGCAAUUAACAGUCCCCAGGCCAGGGCAGAGAAUCUGUUUUACAAGAUGGCUAAUACCGGAGACUAAGACUUUGCAGGUGGAAGGACUCUAAUACCUCCUGAGUCUGGGUGAAAGGCCUCCAGACUCCUUAGGACAAGGACCACAGCCCUACUGGCAGGGUGCUGGUGCUGCACAGUGACCUUUGAGGGGAGGAAGUGGCCUUCCCUGCUGAGGGUGGCCUGGUCCUCCACAGGUGGCCCAGGCCGGGCCCCCCUCCCACCAGCAGCAGGCAGCGUGCACACUUACAUCAGUCAUGGCUUUCUUGGCCCUCUCGUCGGCAGAGCGGAACUCACUGAUGAGCUCCUCGUGCUCGUUGGAGAUGCGCUGGACAUCCGACUCCAGCUUGCGCUUGACCACGAGGAGGCUUUGGUUCUGGAAGAGAAAAUAAAGACAUUGCCAUGAGGCAGAAGUCUGCACAGCCCUUCCUGUGUCCAGGAAAGAGAAACAACUCUCUCACAGACAUACUUGCCAAACCCCCCAACAGGAAAUGGCCCUGGACCCCCUGCUUGAGAGGAGCCUGUGAACUGCUUUCUCCUGGACGUGACCCUGGCCUCAGCAAGUGUCUGAUGUGGUCAGACCACCAGCACCACCCACACCCCAGCCUUCCCAGCUCUCUGGCACAGGGUCACACUCACUUGGUCUCCUCCAGCUCCUCGGUCCUCUGGAUGGCAUCCGUCUCAUACUUGGUCCUCCAGGUGGUCACCUCGGUGUUGAGCUUGGACACGAGGCGCUGCAGCUCUGACUUGCCUCCCUGCUCCUCCUCCAGCUGCUCCUUCACCAGGUCCAGGUCAUGCUUUGUGUUGGCAAGACUCACCAUGGCCGUGCUGCGAGACUGUGGGGACCAGCGGAGGCCGUCAGAGGCCCCGCUGGUCUCUGUGGACCCCAGGGCCAUUGCUUAGACAUCCGCAGCAUUGGAUUGACAGUGCAGCAAGUGAAGGGGGAAAAGGGCACCGA
Molecule: long non-coding RNA, 1040 nt
Organism: Prionailurus viverrinus (fishing cat)
Lineage: Eukaryota; Metazoa; Chordata; Mammalia; Carnivora; Felidae
Exons: 3
Source: RefSeq, a predicted model, not a curated record